UGGGGAAUAUUGCACAAUGGGCGCAAGCCUGAUGCAGCCAUGCCGCGUGUGUGAAGAAGGCCUUCGGGUUGUAAAGCACUUUCAGCGAGGAGGAAGGGUAGUGUGUUAAUAGCACAUUGCAUUGACGUUACUCGCAGAAGAAGCACCGGCUAACUCCGUGCCAGCAGCCGCGGUAAUACGGAGGGUGCAAGCGUUAAUCGGAAUUACUGGGCGUAAAGAGCACGCAGGCGGUUUGUUAAGUCAGAUGUGAAAUCCCCGCGCUUAACGUGGGAACUGCAUUUGAAACUGGCAAGCUAGAGUCUUGUAGAGGGGGGUAGAAUUCCAGGUGUAGCGGUGAAAUGCGUAGAGAUCUGGAGGAAUACCGGUGGCGAAGGCGGCCCCCUGGACAAAGACUGACGCUCAGUUGCGAAAGCGUGGGGAGCAAACA
Molecule: ribosomal RNA, 427 nt
Filed under: uncultured bacterium
Lineage: Bacteria
Description: partial 16S ribosomal RNA
Rfam family: Bacterial small subunit ribosomal RNA
Source: RNAcentral